ACGAACGCUGGCGGCGUGCCUAAUACAUGCAAGUCGAACGGUCUUUCUAUGGAAGCUUGCUUCCACUGAGAAGAUAGUGGCGGACGGGUGAGUAACACGUGGGUAACCUGCCCAUAAGAGGGGGAUAACAUCCGGAAACGGGUGCUAAUACCGCAUAGUUUUCUUGAUCGCAUGAUUGAGAAAGGAAAGACGGCCUUUGUGCUGUCGCUUAUGGAUGGACCCGCGGCGUAUUAGUUAGUUGGUGAGGUAAUGGCUCACCAAGACGAUGAUACGUAGCCGACCUGAGAGGGUGAUCGGCCACAUUGGGACUGAGACACGGCCCAAACUCCUACGGGAGGCAGCAGUAGGGAAUCUUCCGCAAUGGACGAAAGUCUGACGGAGCAACGCCGCGUGAGUGAAGAAGGUUUUCGGAAUCGUAAAACUCUGUUGUCAGAGAAGAACAAGUUGGAGAGUAACUGCUCCAGCCUUGACGGUAUCUGACCAGAAGGCCACGGCUAACUACGUGCCAGCAGCUGC
RNAcentral lists this ribosomal RNA (516 nucleotides) under uncultured bacterium. RNAcentral describes it as "bacterial SSU rRNA". It matches the Rfam family "Bacterial small subunit ribosomal RNA", at positions 29 to 518 of the family's 1533-position model. The record is from RNAcentral.